This 240-nucleotide unclassified non-coding RNA is filed under the name soil metagenome. RNAcentral describes it as "partial contains 5.8S ribosomal RNA, internal transcribed spacer 2, and large subunit ribosomal RNA". The record is from RNAcentral.
AACCUAGCACACCUGCGGUGUGUACCUGCGGAGGGAUCAUCAUCGAAUUCAUAUCCCCCUCCUCUCCCGGAGGGGGACCCAUGAUAAACCCUUCUGUGCACCGUAAACCGUUCACUUUGGCAGGCUUUGGUGGUGAGCGUGAGCUCGCCUCCAACCUCGCGUUCCUCCCUCACUUAAGGGCGUUACGCGUGGCGGCCUGCCGGAGUCCUAUUAAAAAACUCGUUUUCGAACACGUCUGAA